RNAcentral lists this unclassified non-coding RNA (253 nucleotides) under uncultured Acidobacteriota bacterium. RNAcentral describes it as "uncultured Acidobacteria bacterium contains 16S-23S intergenic spacer region". It matches the Rfam family "Bacterial small subunit ribosomal RNA", at positions 524 to 776 of the family's 1533-position model. The record is from RNAcentral. Lineage: Bacteria; Pseudomonadati; Acidobacteriota.
GACGAGCCACACAAACGUUAUUCGGAAUUAUUGGGCGUAAAGGGCGCGUAGGCGGUCCAGUAAGUCAGGGGUGAAAUCCCUCGGCUCAACCGAGGAAUUGCCUCUGAAACUACUGGACUCGAGGCCGGGAGAGGGUGGUGGAAUUCCCAGUGUAGCGAUGAUAUGCGUAGAUAUUGGGAGGAACACCAGUGGCGAAGGCGGCCACCUGGACCGGUUCUGACGCUGAGGCGCGAAAGCGUGGGGAGCAAACAGG